GCUUAACACAUGCAAGUCGAGGGGCAGCAUGGUCUUAGCUUGCUAAGGCUGAUGGCGACCGGCGCACGGGUGAGUAACACGUAUCCAACCUGCCGUCUACUCUUGGCCAGCCUUCUGAAAGGAAGAUUAAUCCAGGAUGGCAUCAUGAGUUCACAUGUCCGCAUGAUUAAAGGUAUUUUCCGGUAGACGAUGGGGAUGCGUUCCAUUAGAUAGUAGGCGGGGUAACGGCCCACCUAGUCAACGAUGGAUAGGGGUUCUGAGAGGAAGGUCCCCCACAUUGGAACUGAGACACGGUCCAAACUCCUACGGGAGGCAGCAGUGAGGAAUAUUGGUCAAUGGGCGAUGGCCUGAACCAGCCAAGUAGCGUGAAGGAUGACUGCCCUAUGGGUUGUAAACUUCUUUUAUAAAGGAAUAAAGUCGGGUAUGCAUACCCGUUUGCAUGUACUUUAUGAAUAAGGAUCGGCUAACUCCGUGCCAGCAGCCGCGGUAAUACGGAGGAUCCGAGCGUUAUCCGGAUUUAUUGGGUUUAAAGGGAGCGUAGAUGGAUGUUUAAGUCAGUUGUGAAAGUUUGCGGCUCAACCGUAAAAUUGCAGUUGAUACUGGAUGUCUUGAGUGCAGUUGAGGCAGGCGGAAUUCGUGGUGUAGCGGUGAAAUGCUUAGAUAUCACGAAGAACUCCGAUUGCGAAGGCAGCCU
This 694-nucleotide ribosomal RNA is filed under the name uncultured Bacteroidales bacterium. RNAcentral's name for it is "bacterial SSU rRNA". It matches the Rfam family "Bacterial small subunit ribosomal RNA", at positions 46 to 727 of the family's 1533-position model. The record is from RNAcentral. Lineage: Bacteria; Pseudomonadati; Bacteroidota; Bacteroidia; Bacteroidales.